Cygnus olor (mute swan) is the source of this 985-nucleotide long non-coding RNA. RefSeq lists it as uncharacterized. Lineage: Eukaryota; Metazoa; Chordata; Aves; Anseriformes; Anatidae. The record is from RefSeq and is a predicted model, not a curated record. The transcript is spliced from 2 exons.
UAAAAAGCUCUUGUUCCUUAACACCAGGCAGCUGUGGUUGUUUGCUGCCAUCAGUUUAUUGGCAGCUGUGAACUUGUAAAGGCUCUCAGAAAGCAGGCACUAGCUUAGGGUCAUAUCGAAGCAUCUUAAUGAAGAUUUUUCUACAAAAUAUUUGCUACCCAAGGGCUGUAACAUUCAGAACCUUCUUUUCAGCUCUCUUAGAGAGUAUGUGAGGAUGGCACGAAAUGACACAGCACCGAGUAGCAGAAGUCUUUUUCAAGCUUUUGAGACAGAUGUUCUUACAGAAGUUCUGUACUUAAAGAAACAAACAAAGGGGGGAAAAAAAAAAAGGAAAUGAGAAAAGGUGGAAAAAAAAAGAGGUUAAAAUUACCAAUAAUUCAUUUCUAAGCCCUCUGGUGUUUGCUGAGUUGAAUUUUUUAAGCAGAAAUUAUGAAGAUGAUAAUAUACUCAUAGUUUAUAGUGCUUAGCUCUAUCUUUUUAUAUUCAGUCUGCCUUAGACCUAAGAAGAUGUUAGAUUCAGGCUCCUUUCACAGGAGGCCAGGCCUGGGCAAGGGUGUGCGGCUGAAACAGCAGGUUAGGCACUUAGGUAGCGAUUCUCCUGCACGCCUCUGAAGCAGUGUGCUGCACGUCACUCAGCCGUGCACACCCUUACCCCCUCAGGGAAGAGCAGGGUUCUGGAAAAUUCACUUUAUUUGCAAACGUGCAUGGAGCAGAUCAGCCAGGCACAGCACAGAGAAAUAUUAGUUGGACACAGGCUGUCACGGCUCCUUGCAUCUACCUAUGACAACCAUAAUAAAUACAACACUUAGGUGAAAUUGCUGACUCCCUCGUCUUUUGGUUUUAAAAUACAAUAGUGAUAUCGACUUCAGAUCUUGCCCGAUUUACUUUAAUUUGAGCCAGGCCUCUACAGAAAGCUGUUGCCCGGGUAACAAAUGCCGCGCACCAUAAUAAGGCAAAUUGCUGUUGAAAUAAAUAGUAAUUACAG